GACGAACGCUGGCGGCGUGCCUAAUACAUGCAAGUCGAACGCAUUUUCUUUCACCGUAGCUUGCUACACCGAAGAAAAUGAGUGGCGAACGGGUGAGUAACACGUGGGUAACCUGCCCAUCAGCGGGGGAUAACACUUGGAAACAGGUGCUAAUACCGCAUAAUUCCAUUUACCGCAUGGUAGAUGGAUGAAAGGCGCUUUUGCGUCACUGAUGGAUGGACCCGCGGUGCAUUAGCUAGUUGGUGGGGUAACGGCCUACCAAGGCUGCGAUGCAUAGCCGACCUGAGAGGGUGAUCGGCCACACUGGGACUGAGACACGGCCCAGACUCCUACGGGAGGCAGCAGUAGGGAAUCUUCGGCAAUGGACACAAGUCUGACCGAGCAACGCCGCGUGAGUGAAGAAGGUUUUCGGAUCGUAAAACUCUGUUGUUAGAGAAGAACAAGGAUGAGAGUGGAAAGUUCAUCCCUUGACGGUAUCUAACCAGAAAGCCACGGCUAACUACGUG
RNAcentral lists this ribosomal RNA (506 nucleotides) under uncultured bacterium. Its description in RNAcentral is "partial 16S ribosomal RNA". It matches the Rfam family "Bacterial small subunit ribosomal RNA", at positions 28 to 507 of the family's 1533-position model. The record is from RNAcentral.